GAUGAACGCUGGCGGCGUGCCUAAUACAUGCAAGUCGAGCGAAUGGAUUAAGAGCUUGCUCUUAUGAAGUUAGCGGCGGACGGGUGAGUAACACGUGGGUAACCUGCCCAUAAGAUUGGGAUAACUCCGGGAAACCGGGGCUAAUACCGGAUAACAUUUUGAACCGCAUGGUUCGAAAUUGAAAGGCGGCUUCGGCUGUCACUUAUGGAUGGACCCGCGUCGCAUUAGCUAGUUGGUGAGGUAACGGCUCACCAAGGCAACGAUGCGUAGCCGACCGGGGAGGGUGAUCGGCCACACUGGGACUGAGGCACGGCACAGACUCCUACGGGAGGCAGCAGUAGGGAAUCUUCCGCAAUGGACGAAAGUCUGACGGAGCAACGCCGCGUGAGUGAUGAAGGCUUUCGGGUCGUAAAACUCUGUUGUUAGGGAAGAACAAGUGCUAGUUGAAUAAGCUGGCACCUUGACGGUACCUAACCAGAAAGCCACGGCUAACUACGUGCCAGCAGCCGCGGUAA
Molecule: ribosomal RNA, 515 nt
Filed under: uncultured bacterium
Lineage: Bacteria
Description: partial 16S ribosomal RNA
Rfam family: Bacterial small subunit ribosomal RNA
Source: RNAcentral